RNAcentral lists this ribosomal RNA (851 nucleotides) under uncultured Flavobacteriaceae bacterium. RNAcentral describes it as "bacterial SSU rRNA". It matches the Rfam family "Bacterial small subunit ribosomal RNA", at positions 45 to 886 of the family's 1533-position model. The record is from RNAcentral. Lineage: Bacteria; Pseudomonadati; Bacteroidota; Flavobacteriia; Flavobacteriales; Flavobacteriaceae.
GGCUUAACACAUGCAAGUCGAGGGGUAACAGGGAUUGCUUGCAAUUCGCUGACGACCGGCGCACGGGUGCGUAACGCGUAUGCAACUUACCUUUUACUGGGGCAUAGUCAAGAGAAAUUUUGAAUAAUACCCCAUACGAUCUGACUCACUCCUGUGAGAUAGAAGAAAAUUACGAUGGUAAAAGAUAGGCAUGCGUCCUAUUAGUUUGUUGGUGAGGUAACGGCUCACCAAGACUACGAUAGGUAGGGGUCCUGAGAGGGAGAUCCCCCACACUGGUACUGAGACACGGACCAGACUCCUACGGGAGGCAGCAGUGAGGAAUAUUGGACAAUGGAGGCAACUCUGAUCCAGCCAUGCCGCGUGCAGGAAGACGGCCCUAUGGGUUGUAAACUGCUUUUAUACAGGAAGAAACGUUAGUACGUGUACUAGCCUGACGGUACUGUAAGAAUAAGGAUCGGCUAACUCCGUGCCAGCAGCCGCGGUAAUACGGAGGAUCCAAGCGUUAUCCGGAAUCAUUGGGUUUAAAGGGUCCGUAGGCGGUCUAUUAAGUCAGAGGUGAAAUCCUAUCGCUCAACGAUAGAACUGCCUUUGAUACUGGUAGACUUGAGUUAUUGUGAAGUAGUUAGAAUGUGUAGUGUAGCGGUGAAAUGCAUAGAUAUUACACAGAAUACCGAUUGCGAAGGCAGAUUACUAACAAUAUACUGACGCUCAGGGACGAAAGCGUGGGUAGCGAACAGGAUUAGAUACCCUGGUAGUCCACGCCGUAAACGAUGGUCACUAGCUGUUUGACUAACAUUGGUUAGUUGAGUGGCUAAGCGAAAGUGAUAAGUGACCCACCUGGGGAGUACGCU